RNAcentral lists this ribosomal RNA (468 nucleotides) under uncultured bacterium. RNAcentral's name for it is "partial 16S ribosomal RNA". It matches the Rfam family "Bacterial small subunit ribosomal RNA", at positions 28 to 507 of the family's 1533-position model. The record is from RNAcentral.
GAUGAACGCUGGCGGCGUGCUUAACACAUGCAAGUCGAACGGAAAGGCUCCUGCUUGCAGGGGUACUCGAGUGGCGAACGGGUGAGUAACACGUGGGUGAUCUGCCCUGUACUUCGGGAUAAGCUUGGGAAACUGGGUCUAAUACCGGAUAGGACAACUUUUUGGAUAUUGUUGUGGAAAGCUUUUGCGGUAUGGGAUGAGCUCGCGGCCUAUCAGCUUGUUGGUGGGGUAAUGGCCUACCAAGGCGUCGACGGGUAGCCGGCCUGAGAGGGUGUACGGCCACAUUGGGACUGAGAUCCGGCCCAGACUCCUACGGGAGGCAGCAGUGGGGAAUAUUGCACAAUGGGUGCAAGCCUGAUGCAGCGACGCCGCGUGGGGGAUGAAGGCCUUCGGGUUGUAAACUCCUUUCGCUAGGGACGAAGCUUUUUUGUGACGGUACCUGGAGAAGAAGCACCGGCUAACUACGUG